RNAcentral lists this ribosomal RNA (740 nucleotides) under uncultured marine bacterium. RNAcentral describes it as "bacterial SSU rRNA". It matches the Rfam family "Bacterial small subunit ribosomal RNA", at positions 36 to 824 of the family's 1533-position model. The record is from RNAcentral.
CUGGCGGCAGGCCUAACACAUGCAAGUCGAGCGCACCUUCGGGUGAGCGGCGGACGGGUUAGUAACGCGUGGGAACGUGCCCUUCUCUAAGGAAUAGCCUCGGGAAACUGAGAGUAAUACCUUAUACGCCCUUCGGGGGAAAGAUUUAUCGGAGAAGGAUCGGCCCGCGUUAGAUUAGAUAGUUGGUGGGGUAACGGCCUACCAAGUCUACGAUCUAUAGCUGGUUUGAGAGGAUGAUCAGCAACACUGGGACUGAGACACGGCCCAGACUCCUACGGGAGGCAGCAGUGGGGAAUCUUGGACAAUGGGCGCAAGCCUGAUCCAGCCAUGCCGCGUGAGUGACGAAGGCCUUAGGGUCGUAAAGCUCUUUCGCCAGGGAUGAUAAUGACAGUACCUGGUAAAGAAACCCCGGCUAACUCCGUGCCAGCAGCCGCGGUAAUACGGAGGGGGUUAGCGUUGUUCGGAAUUACUGGGCGUAAAGCGCACGUAGGCGGAUUAGAAAGCUAGAGGUGAAAUCCCAGGGCUCAACCCUGGAACUGCCUUUAGAACUACUAGUCUAGAGUUCGAGAGAGGUGAGUGGAAUUCCAAGUGUAGAGGUGAAAUUCGUAGAUAUUUGGAGGAACACCAGUGGCGAAGGCGGCUCACUGGCUCGAUACUGACGCUGAGGUGCGAAAGUGUGGGGAGCAAACAGGAUUAGAUACCCUGGUAGUCCACACCGUAAACGAUGAAUGCCAGACGUC